This 79-nucleotide non-coding RNA is filed under the name bovine gut metagenome. RNAcentral describes it as "TPP riboswitch (THI element)". The stretch from base 3 to 73 matches the Rfam family "TPP riboswitch aptamer (THI element)", at positions 9 to 90 of the family's 105-position model. Rfam says of the family: Vitamin B(1) in its active form thiamin pyrophosphate (TPP) is an essential coenzyme that is synthesised by coupling of pyrimidine and thiazole moieties in bacteria. The previously detected thiamin-regulatory element, thi box was extended, resulting in a new, highly conserved RNA secondary structure, the THI element, which is widely distributed in eubacteria and also occurs in some archaea. Analysis of operon structures identified a large number of new candidate thiamin-regulated genes, mostly transporters, in various prokaryotic organisms. The record is from RNAcentral.
CAGCAGGGGCGCUGGCGGAAGCCGGCUGAGACGUACCCUUUGACCUGAUCCGGAUAAUGCCGGCGUAGGAAGCGAGAGA